AUUCGAAAGCUAUAAUUUUUACGUAUUGAGAAUGAAAAAUAUGGGCAUAAUACCAUUUCAUAUAGAAUUUUUAAAAAAGAAAUUUGGUGUAUUUUUGGACUGGGUACAAGUAACAAUUUUUGAUGAAUUGGGAGUUGAUUUUAAAACAAUUUUCCGUUAAAUGUACCAACUACUCUAUAUGACGCAAACUUUAUUUAAUUCGUUACUUAAUAUUUGGUGUAAGGUGUUCAACAUUUAUCUUAACUUUUCUGUUGCCUGUAAUAAAAAUUCUGAUUCGCAGCAGUAUAUUAUCAGGUAGGCAAUCUAUCUACCAUUUUUACUUAAUUCCACCU
Acyrthosiphon pisum (pea aphid) is the source of this 332-nucleotide long non-coding RNA. RefSeq lists it as uncharacterized. The record is from RefSeq and is a predicted model, not a curated record. Lineage: Eukaryota; Metazoa; Arthropoda; Insecta; Hemiptera; Aphididae. The transcript is spliced from 3 exons.